AGGGGCUUAAUGAUGCCUUAUAGUUCAAUUCAAUUCAAUUCAAUUUUAUUUGUAUAGCGCCAAUUCAUAACAGAAGUUAUCUCAGGACACUUUUCAAAUAGAGCAGGUCUAGACCGAACUCUUUAACAUUAAUUACAGAGACCCAACAGUACCACCAUGAGCAAGACCUUGGAGACAAGGGCAAGGAAACACUGCCUGUUAAAAGGCAGAAACCUAGGACAGAUCCUCCGGCUCUAGGUGGGUGGUCGUCUGUCUCGACCAGUUGGGGUGAGAGAGAGAGAGAGAGAGAGAGAGAGAGAGAGAGAGAGACAGAGAGAGAGAGAGAGACAGAGAGAGAGAGAGAGACAGAGAGAGAGACAGAGAGAGG
This is a long non-coding RNA of Dicentrarchus labrax (European seabass), 367 nucleotides long. RefSeq lists it as uncharacterized. The record is from RefSeq and is a predicted model, not a curated record. The transcript has 2 exons. Lineage: Eukaryota; Metazoa; Chordata; Actinopteri; Moronidae.